UUUCUUUGCUGGCGACCGGCGCACGGUGAGUAACACGUAUCCCACCUGCCCUUUACUCGGGAUAGCCUUUCGAAAGAAAGAUUAAUACCCGAUAGCAUAAUGAUUCCGCAUGGUUUCAUUAUUAAAGGAUUCCGGUAAAGGAUGGGGAUGCGUUCCAUUAGGUUGUUGGUGAGGUAACGGCUCACCAAGCCUUCGAUGGAUAGGGGUUCUGAGAGGAAGGUCCCCCACAUUGGAACUGAGACACGGUCCAA
RNAcentral lists this ribosomal RNA (251 nucleotides) under uncultured bacterium. RNAcentral's name for it is "partial 16S ribosomal RNA". It matches the Rfam family "Bacterial small subunit ribosomal RNA", at positions 80 to 334 of the family's 1533-position model. The record is from RNAcentral.